RNAcentral lists this non-coding RNA (21 nucleotides) under Arabidopsis thaliana (thale cress). The record is from RNAcentral. Lineage: Eukaryota; Viridiplantae; Streptophyta; Magnoliopsida; Brassicales; Brassicaceae.
UCGAAUGACGAAUGCCUAGCC